This 668-nucleotide long non-coding RNA is filed under the name Lathyrus oleraceus (garden pea). Its description in RNAcentral is "Pisum sativum (pea) long non-coding RNA (PSAT_LNC003370)". The record is from RNAcentral. Lineage: Eukaryota; Viridiplantae; Streptophyta; Magnoliopsida; Fabales; Fabaceae.
AAAAAUAUGAAUAUAUAAAAUAAAGAGAGAAGUAAUAGUUCAUAAAUGUAUUAGUUAGAGGCAAAUCAUCUCCACUCUAUUGUAUCGUGUGAAUAAAUAAAGAAUAAAAUAGACUAUUUUUAACUAGAUAUCUUCAUCAAGAAAGAAAUAAAGAGGAAACAAAAUUAAUAUUCACAAAAUCAAUUUUCUCCCUCUGUUCUCAUUCUCUCUCAUCUUCUCUUACCCCUUGUCAUUUUUCAAAGAAUAAAAAGAGUAACAUAUUAUCUCUGUUGUGAACUGAAUUUUUUUUUAGAAAAAAUAUAGAAACAAAAAAAACUCUUCUCCUUCACUCAAACAAACAAAACUUUACAACCACAACAUCGAUUUAAAAUCCAGAAAAUUAACCCAUUGAUUCAUGAAAGAAAGGUACCAAAUGGUGAUUGAGACAACAAAUGCUGGUGGAUGGCGGCGGACCUGAAGGCGGCAACGGCGUAUAUGGAGGCUAUGGCGUGGGUUUUCCGAUGUUUGGUGGUUGUCGGAGGUGAGUGUUGUUGUUGUGUUGAGUUAUGUUAUGGUUGAUGAAGUUGGUAUUGAUAGUGAUAGUGAGAGUUCCUAUUGUAAAAAAAUAAAAAGGUUUCUGGAAUUCUUGUUGAUGGUUUGAGCAUAAAUGGUGAUGUGAGCUUUUCUUU